Coffea eugenioides is the source of this 919-nucleotide long non-coding RNA. RefSeq lists it as uncharacterized. Lineage: Eukaryota; Viridiplantae; Streptophyta; Magnoliopsida; Gentianales; Rubiaceae. The transcript has 3 exons. The record is from RefSeq and is a predicted model, not a curated record.
CAAGAGAAAUCCACAGCCAAUAAUUUGCUAAGUCAAGCGGUGGAAGUGAGGAAACAAAUAGAAAGUGGCUUGCUAAGUUGGGCGGUGGCCGAGUGGAGAAGCGAGGCUUCAAUUCUUUUCUUACCAACCAAACACCAAGAGCAAAACUGAGAGACUAAGCCAUUUCUUUUCAUCUCAAGGCACAACCGAGAGAAUGGAAAAUAUUUCUGGUUCUUCCUUGUUCCAGUUUUCAACCGAGAGAGUGAGGAAGAGAGUUAGACAUUUGCUAGCUUUAUUUCUCCAGCUUGUAACCUCAAAACCGUGAGCCAAAGUGAGUGAGAGGGAGAGAAAUUCUGGUGGUAUACUUCACCUAACGGGCUCAAUCGAAUGAGAGUGAAGUAGAUUGAAGAAAGAGUGAGAGUUGGUGCAAUUUUGAGGAACCGAAGCUCAACUUGGAGCCAUCUGCACUUGCUGAAUUCUAGAGGAAAGGAGUUCUUGUCCUUAGUUUAGCUACCCGAGAGACAUUAGGAGGAAAAGGAGAGAAGGACCAAAAGAAAGAAACAACAACAACAACUAGGAACUCAUUUCUGGCCUCCUUCAACCGUGAGAACCAGCCACAAAGAAAGCAGGAAUGCAGUCUAUCGAGCUAAGAAUGGGAGAGAGAAACCAGAAUUUUAUUUUCCUAACUUAGAACCAUAAGAACCAGAGGAGACAGCGGUGUGCAAGAAAGCAAUUAUGAGAUCGAAGUGUAACUUUUGAUUAGGGAGUUGGUGGUCAGGGAAUGAACGAGGGAUCUUAGGGAGUUAACGUGAAGACUUUUGUGAUUGUAAAUCCUUUAAUAUCAUAUUAUGGUUGAGGCUAUUAUAUUGAACUUGGUAUUGUAAAAGAUUUGAGCGUUUGGUUUUGGUUUAUCGAAAUGUUAUCUCUGAAAUUAAUGUAA